UUGCUUUUGUUGAUGGCGACCGGCGCACGGGUGAGUAACGCGUAUCCAACCUUCCCUUUCUGCUCCCGGCAUAGCCCGGCGAAAGUCGGAUUAAUACCCUAUGUUAUCCAGCGAUGGCAUCUGAAAUGGAUUAAAGAUUUAUCGCUAAGGGAUGGGGAUGCGUCUGAUUAGGUUGUUGGCGGGGUAACGGCCCACCAAGCCUACGAUCAGUAGUGUGUGUUCUGAGAGGAAGGUCCCCCACAUUGGUACUGAGACACGGACCAAACUCCUACGGGAGGCAGCAGUGAGGAAUAUUGGUCAAUGGGCGACGCACCAGCAACCAGCCAAGUAGCGUGCAGGAUGACGGCCCUAUGGGUUGUAAACUGCUUCUGCAUGGUUAUUGUAUAGGUGAGGGACGUGUCCCUUCCUUGUAUGUACCAUGAGAAUAAGGACCGGCUAAUUCCGUGCCAGCAGCCGCGGUAAUACGGGAGGGGUCCGGGGCGUUAUCCGGAUUUAUUGGGUUUAAAGGGGAGCGCAGCUGCCUGUUAAGCGUGACGUGAAAUGCCGCGGCUCAAC
Molecule: ribosomal RNA, 555 nt
Filed under: uncultured rumen bacterium
Lineage: Bacteria
Description: bacterial SSU rRNA
Rfam family: Bacterial small subunit ribosomal RNA
Source: RNAcentral